RNAcentral lists this ribosomal RNA (373 nucleotides) under uncultured eukaryote. Its description in RNAcentral is "partial 18S ribosomal RNA". It matches the Rfam family "Eukaryotic small subunit ribosomal RNA", at positions 592 to 976 of the family's 1831-position model. The record is from RNAcentral.
CAAUAGCGUAUAUUAAAGUUGUUGCAGUUAAAAAGCUCGUAGUUGAAUUUUUGCUUGCCGCCGAUGUCGGAACUUCCGUACGUUCGGCGGCGUGCAUCCUUGGGUGGAACCUGUGUGGCAUUAGGUUGCCGUGCAGGGGAUGCUCAUCGUUUACUGUGAAAAAAUUAGAGUGUUCAAAGCAGGCUUACGCCGUUGAAUAUAUUAGCAUGGAAUAAUAAGAUAGGACCUUGGUACUAUUUUGUUGGUUUGCGCACCGAGGUAAUGAUUAACAGGGACAGUUGGGGGUAUUCGUAUUCCAUUGUCAGAGGUGAAAUUCUUGGAUUUCUGGAAGACGAACUACUGCGAAAGCAUUUACCAAGGAUGUUUUCAUUAA